AACUGGAAGAGCGGCGGUCUGCAGCCCUCCCCUCAUACCCUUGCCCCCGCGACCCGGCCCCUUCUCAAGCCCUCUGCACGCUUAGGCCAAAGUGCCAUAAUACUGUCACAAUUUGCUGAGGGAUCUGCACAGCGCGAUCCGAAGACUUGUCCAUUCUACGACGGUUCUUGUUGAGUGUCAGCGGUAGAUUAUUUUUUUGUCUUUAAGAAGAAGAAAAAACCCCCAAAAAACUCCAUUGGAAUAAAGACAGUUGUUAAUCCACAAAAGCAUUUUGUUUCUCAUGAGUUACCAUGAAGUCUCUGCAGCCGACUUCCUUGGAGAUUUUUUAAAGGAACACAAGGUCAGCUUUCAGUUUUCCAUGUUAAGCGUGGGCAGCAUAGAUAAGUAAAAGCUGCCUGCAAUCUCCAACCCUCCUUUGUAAAGGGCUUGUGCUCUGGAGGCUGUUAGCCAUGGUUUUCCUUAUAAACCGAGAGACUGGUCAGUAUCUCUGAACCUCAGCCUCCACAUCUGUAAAACGGGCAUUUUACUCACUUUUCUGGGUAAUUGUAAACCAUAAAAGGAUAAAACAGUGUACACUGCACAGUUCAGAUUCUCUCAUGUAACAGGUACAGAGCAAAUUAUAGUUCCCUUUCUUCCCCAGAUAGAUUCCUACAGCGAAUUUUACUUCUUUACAAAAUCUUCCAGAGACAGGUCAAAUACUGUUGCAAUAACUGUUAACAACCAAAAUAUCAAUUUCAAGAUGUCCAAGCUUUAAUUGACAGAGUUAUUUAAUCAGUUGGAUGGAAAAAAAUCUUAAAUGAUAUAAAAUAAUUUGGACGGGUCUUUCAAGUUUAUUGUAUAGAAAUUGAACUAUUGGCCUGAUACAGUUGCUCACAUCUAUAAUCCCAGCAGUUUGGGAGGCCAAGGCAGGUGGAUAGCUUGAGCCCGGGAGUUGGAGACUAGCCUGGGCAACAUAGCAAGACCCUGUCUCAAAAAUAAAUUAAUUAAUUAAAAUUUAGAAAAAACGAAAUUGAACUGUUCUG
Molecule: long non-coding RNA, 1022 nt
Filed under: Homo sapiens (human)
Lineage: Eukaryota; Metazoa; Chordata; Mammalia; Primates; Hominidae
Description: non-protein coding lnc-MRPL43-2:2
Source: RNAcentral